AACUGAUACUACCUGCGGGAACCUGCGGAAGGAUCAUUACUGAAGUGAUUUGGGGAUGUUGCCGGCCCUCUCUCAAGGGGGGGCACUGUGCACUCCUCGAAACAAUUCACAAUUUCCAUCACACCCCUUGUGCACACCUUGUAGGCACCCAAACCCACCUCCGGGUGGUGGGGUCCUAUGUAUUCCUUCAUCUCACACUCUGUUGAAUGGUGCCAUGGGACGCAUCUAAAGGAUUAUUUG
Molecule: unclassified non-coding RNA, 240 nt
Filed under: soil metagenome
Description: partial contains 5.8S ribosomal RNA, internal transcribed spacer 2, and large subunit ribosomal RNA
Source: RNAcentral